Molecule: long non-coding RNA, 3838 nt
Organism: Gasterosteus aculeatus aculeatus (three-spined stickleback)
Lineage: Eukaryota; Metazoa; Chordata; Actinopteri; Perciformes; Gasterosteidae
Source: Ensembl
UUUAAGAGAAAGUGUUUAUUGAAAGAAACAAUUACAUGAGGAAGAGUAAACAUUUUAAAGCGUUAAAAUUGUUCGUAACGGAGGACAGAAGUUUUGCAAACAGACGCCGUUGGCUCAGCUUGAUGAAUCAAUAUUAAAUGAGUGAAUUACUGCAGUUAAUGAAAAGGUUUUACGGGUUACAAAUAGUUGCGUGAUGUAGUUUGUACAUAAAUCUGAGUUCUAGUCCCUGAGCCUCAAAACUAUUUUCACAAUGUGAUGACAUGCAUAGUUUAAGUGUGACGUUUGUGGACGUCCGUCCAGCAGAAACGCAGCUCCGUGUUUACGACUUGUCGAGGUGAAGUGACAAAAUUCAGUGUCCUGCUUCCGAAGAAUGAAGCUUCUGUCAAGUGUAAAGCAAAAGACAAUUAAAGCGUUUGGGAGUUUUUAUUGUCUCACACGUGUUAGUUCUCAGAACAGAUAAGUAAGUAUUUCAUCCCAGAGCCUUUAACAGAUGCAUAGUUAAUGGUUUUAAGGAAACAGUGUGAAAACAAACAUUUCACAGCUUACUAAAAAAGUAAAAACACGAGUUUCUCCCUCGAGACGAAACAUACUUUUUCGCCUCUUCACUACAAAUACAUGAACUAUCCAUUUAUAAACCAACAGAAGAUGAUUCAAAGACCUUGUCUGUUUCACAGCUUUUCCCUUAACGCACAUCCUAAACGGAGGACACCUUUAACGACAGUAAGAUAUUCAGCGCUUCCGUUCGUCACCGCUUAGUUUGCAUGGGAUGCAGAUGGCAUUUGUUUUAUUAAAUGCUGCAGCGUAGCAGCAAUCCCUGAAGGGCGGAACAUCCAACCCUGAAUAACCUUUGAUUGAAAAUGUCUUUGCAGCCCCAAAUACCAAGCUGCUCCACGUUUCCAUAGCAACCGCAAACGGAUGCCGCUAAAUAAGUCACCGCUAAAUGCAUCCAGAAAUGUAUUAUAUUGAAAUUGAUCAGUACGGGCCUCAAAAAUGACUUUGGCAAUACGAGGAAGCUCGAAAUGCAUCUUCUUCCCACCGCAGCAGCUCUGCUUCGAGAUAAAAACGCAGAGGAAGCUUUAAAAAGGAGACGACAGUGAAACGGGACCGUAAACAUUGUGUCCUUUAGGAAUAUACUUUUAUGAGAACAGUUAUUAUUUCAGGUGUAAAGGCACAAACAUGAAGGAGAUUGUCUUGUUUCGGGGUUUUCAGGUCCAGCAGCGACGGGUCAGAGGAAUCCUGGGGGAGAAAACAGAAUCCCAAUAAGUCUUUGAGGGGAAACGGAUUCUUUGCUUCCGUCAAAAUAAGACAAAGCAAGACGGGAACUUCAGCUUUUACCAUUUAAACAACUCCUUCGAGGUAAAGAAAGAUAUAGAUUUUUUUACACUAUAGGUUACAUGAUCAAUUUCCAAAUAGAAUAAAAAAAAAUUUUUAACUUCAUAAAGAAGAAACAUAACUUACCGAGAUUUGCUCAGAGAUCGUCUGAGGCGAUUUUUAUCUUUUUGGGGGUUUUCUUUUUCUGGAAGGAUCAAAAAAGAAGAAAUUUAGUCGUGAAUCCAAACAACGUAACGGAAGAAGAGGCGAAGCGUGGGUAGAAGGUCGCGUCGGUUGCCAUGGAGACACGUCUCACCUUCGCAGCGGGAGGAGUUUGUUCCUCUGCAGCCGGUUCCGUCUCCUCCGACCGGUUCCUCUCUGCAAAUCAGAAUUCAAACAUGAAGCCUGAAGCUGUUCUUCCCGUUCGUGUCCGCUAAGCGAUUCCUUUGGUUUAAUGGAUUCUUUAAUUGCUAAAAAUUAAUAUGUUUAACAGCGAGAAAGUGUCUCACUCUUUUUCUUUGCAGAAGUGACGGGCAUGGGGCUGUCAGUCGUCUCCUCGCCUUCUUCAGCCAUGAUCAUCAUCUUCUUCUUCUUCUUGCCUUCCUUUGGAAGUGGAGUCGAUGCCGUCUCAGGAGGUCCGGAGCUCUCCUCCUUUUCCUCCUCCUCCUCUGUUUGCUUCUUCUUUUUCUUCUUCGGCGGUUGGUUUUCCUUUGAGGAAUUCUCUUCUUGCUCUCCGUUCAUUUUAAUCAUCUUCUUCUUCUUCUUUGGUGUGUCGUCGCUCUUCUGGGCGGGGUCACCUUGGGGCGUCUCCUCCGCGGUCGCCUUUUGUCUGCAAGAAUGAUUGAUGUUACUUGUGAUUAAUGAUUGUGAUUUACAAUGAAGGUAUUGCUGAUGUAACUAUACUUGUUAAAUGUUUGACUCUAAUCUAAAUAUAUUUUGUGUUUAUUCCACAUUGAUCUAAUUAUUAUAAAUUGCUUAAAUAUAUUUAUGCAUUUUUUACAGUUACAUUAUUUAUAUGCACGUAUUUUAAGACCAUAAAGAGGCCAAAGAAAACCUCUGACCUCAUCUUCAUUAUCUUUUUUCUACGGUGUUGCAACCUUUUCACGAGGCUGUGUUUCUUCCUGAAACGGCGAUUCUUAGUCGAUGAGCUUGCAUCUAUAAGAAGAAAAAAAAGAAGUAGUAAAAAGUACAAAUCAUUGAACUUCAAAUUGUAAGCGCAGUGAAAGAAGAAGGUAUUCGGUUGCGUUGUUUGUAAACAGUCUUGUGUUCAUUUUGCAUGCAUUGUUUGUGAGGAAUAUCUUUAUUUUCAUUAUUACCGUAACAUUACUACUAUAGAUUUUAACAACCAUACUUUAUGUCAGCCUGGACAUUUAAUCUGAAAAAGGACUAAAGACGGAGUAGAAAUAAGAGUUUGACAGGUGGGAGACACCGACUACCUGUGGACUCCUGAUCCUUGUCUGUGUCUGUGUUGCCCCCUGCUGGUGUUUCCUUAGACGGUUUCUUCUUCUUUGUCUUGGCUGGACUCGAGGACAAGCUGCACUCCACUUCUACGGCCUCGCUCUUCUCUUCUGUUACCUUCUUCUUCUUCUUUUUGAUUUUCUUCUCUGAAGGCGUGACCUCUUCCUUCUCCUCCGCUACCUCUUGCUCCAUCUUCCUUUUCUUAGCCUUCUUCUUCUUCUUCUUCUCCUCCUCCGGUGAAGUGGCCAAAGAGGCAUCCGCCUCCUCUAUCGUCUGAUCUGCCUCCUCCUUUUCUUCCGUCUGCUUCCCCUCGGCCCUCCGUUUGUCUCUCUUCAUCUUUUUGGCGGUCUUGGCGGCGAGAGGAGCGUCGCUGGGUGCGUCUACGGUGGACGAGUCGGUGCUCGGUGCCUCCGCCUCCUCUUUGCUCUUCUUUUUCUUCUUCUUCUUCGAGGGGGUUUUGGAAAGGUCUUCCUCGGGGGGCGGCUGGCUGGAUCGUGGCUGGGUCGGGUCGGUGUCCUCGAUGUUGAGGACGAUGGAGACUUCAGGGUCUCCGGAGGCCGUCACCAUUUCUGCAACAGGACACAGAAACACUUACCAAGUUGUAGCAAACCGAAGUCAACUUUAAAAAAAUUAAACACAAUUUGAGAAAUUGUUGCUAAUGAAAUAGCUGAGUAGCUAGUAACCACUAGCCUACUUUGACUAGUAACCACUAGGCUACUGUGACUAGUAACCCCUAGUAACCACUGGGAUACUGUGACUAGUAACCCCUAGUAACCACUAGGCUCCUGUGACUGGUAACCCCUAGUAACCACUGGGCUCCUGUGACUGGUAACCCCUAGUAACCACUGGGCUCCUGUGACUGGUAACCCCUAGUAACCACUGGGAUCAUGUGACUGGUAACCCCUAGUAACCAGUGGGCUACUGUGACUAGUAACCAGUGGGCUACUGUGACUAGUAACCAGUGGGCUACUGUGACUGGUAACCAGGAGGCUACUGUGACUGGUAACCCCUAGUAACCACUGGGCUACUGUGACUCGUAACCCCUAGUAACCACUGGGCUACUGUGACU